This 253-nucleotide ribosomal RNA is filed under the name uncultured bacterium. Its description in RNAcentral is "partial 16S ribosomal RNA". It matches the Rfam family "Bacterial small subunit ribosomal RNA", at positions 524 to 776 of the family's 1533-position model. The record is from RNAcentral.
UACAGAGGGUGCAAGCGUUAAUCGGAAUUACUGGGCGUAAAGAGCACGUAGGCGGUCGUGUAAGUCAGAUGUGAAAUCCCCGGGCUUAACCUGGGAACUGCAUUUGAUACUGCAUGACUAGAGUAGAAUAGAGGAAAGCGGAAUUUCCGGUGUAGCGGUGAAAUGCGUAGAGAUCGGAAGGAACACCAGUGGCGAAGGCGGCUUUCUGGAUUCAUACUGACGCUGAGGUGCGAAAGCGUGGGGAGCAAACAGG